This 464-nucleotide ribosomal RNA is filed under the name Vreelandella stevensii. RNAcentral describes it as "partial 16S ribosomal RNA". It matches the Rfam family "Bacterial small subunit ribosomal RNA", at positions 338 to 795 of the family's 1533-position model. The record is from RNAcentral. Lineage: Bacteria; Pseudomonadati; Pseudomonadota; Gammaproteobacteria; Oceanospirillales; Halomonadaceae.
CCUACGGGUGGCAGCAGUGGGGAAUAUUGGACAAUGGGCGAAAGCCUGAUCCAGCCAUGCCGCGUGUGUGAAGAAGGCCUUCGGGUUGUAAAGCACUUUCAGUGGGGAAGAAAGCCUUGGGGCUAAUACCCUCGAGGAAGGACAUCACCCACAGAAGAAGCACCGGCUAACUCCGUGCCAGCAGCCGCGGUAAUACGGAGGGUGCGAGCGUUAAUCGGAAUUACUGGGCGUAAAGCGCGCGUAGGCGGUCUGAUAAGCCGGUUGUGAAAGCCCCGGGCUCAACCUGGGAACGGCAUCCGGAACUGUCAGGCUAGAGUGCAGGAGAGGAAGGUAGAAUUCCCGGUGUAGCGGUGAAAUGCGUAGAGAUCGGGAGGAAUACCAGUGGCGAAGGCGGCCUUCUGGACUGACACUGACGCUGAGGUGCGAAAGCGUGGGUAGCAAACAGGAUUAGAUACCCGAUAGUC